This 500-nucleotide ribosomal RNA is filed under the name uncultured bacterium. RNAcentral describes it as "partial 16S ribosomal RNA". It matches the Rfam family "Bacterial small subunit ribosomal RNA", at positions 29 to 523 of the family's 1533-position model. The record is from RNAcentral.
AUUGAACGCUGGCGGCAUGCCUUACACAUGCAAGUCGAACGGCAGCACGGGAGUAAUCCUGGUGGCGAGUGGCGAACGGGUGAGUAGUACAUCGGAACGUGCCUAGUAGUGGGGGAUAGCCCGGCGAAAGCCGGAUUAAUACCGCAUACGACCUGAGGGUGAAAGCGGGGGAUCGAAAGACCUCGCGCUAUUGGAGCGGCCGAUGCCAGAUUAGGUAGUUGGUGGGGUAAAGGCCUACCAAGCCGACGAUCUGUAGCUGGUCUGAGAGGACGACCAGCCACACUGGGACUGAGACACGGCCCAGACUCCUACGGGAGGCAGCAGUGGGGAAUUUUGGACAAUGGGCGAAAGCCCGAUUCAGCCAUGCCGCGUGCAGGAAGAAGGCCUUCGGGUUGUAAACUGCUUUUGUCAGGGAAGAAAAGUUCUGGGCUAAUACCCUGGGGCGAUGACGGUACCUGGAUAAGAAGCCCCGGCUAACUUCGUGCCAGCCGCCGCGGUAA